Molecule: ribosomal RNA, 254 nt
Filed under: uncultured archaeon
Lineage: Archaea
Description: partial 16S ribosomal RNA
Rfam family: Archaeal small subunit ribosomal RNA
Source: RNAcentral
AUUAGAUACCCGGGUAGUCCCAGCCGUAAACAAUGUGCGUUAGGUGUGUCGGUAACCACGCGUUACUGAUGCGCCGAAGAGAAAUCGUGAAACGCACCACCUGGGAAGUACGGUCGCAAGGCUGAAACUUAAAGGAAUUGGCGGGGAGCACCACAACAGGUGGAGCCUGCGGUUUAAUUGGAUUCAACGCCGGACAUCUCACCGGAUAAGACAGCUGAAUGAUUGUCAAUCUGAAGGUUUUACAUGACUAGCUG